UACGUAGGGGGCAAGCGUUAUCCGGAUUUACUGGGUGUAAAGGGAGCGUAGACGGCCAUACAAGCCAGAUAUGAAAGGCGGGGGCUCAACCCCCGGAUUGCAUUUGGAACUGCGUGGCUGGAGUACCGGAGGGGUAGGCGGAAUUCCUAGUGUAGCGGUGAAAUGCGUAGAUAUUAGGAGGAACACCAGUGGCGAAGGCGGCCUGCUGGACGGUAACUGACGUUGAGGCUCGAAGGCGUGGGGAGCAAAC
RNAcentral lists this ribosomal RNA (250 nucleotides) under uncultured prokaryote. Its description in RNAcentral is "partial 16S ribosomal RNA". It matches the Rfam family "Bacterial small subunit ribosomal RNA", at positions 524 to 773 of the family's 1533-position model. The record is from RNAcentral.